RNAcentral lists this unclassified non-coding RNA (3589 nucleotides) under Hevea brasiliensis (rubber tree). The record is from RNAcentral. Lineage: Eukaryota; Viridiplantae; Streptophyta; Magnoliopsida; Malpighiales; Euphorbiaceae.
GCAUGCAUAAUUUACUAUAUUAUAUAAUAAAAAAAAUAAUAGAACAAGAGCAAAUUUGAAAUUUUCCUAAAAAUAUUUACAUACAAAAAGAAUUUAUUUACAUGUCAUAACACUGGAAUCAAAGAACAGUCUCCUUAUCAUUUUGUGCCGACAUGGUAAAAUAGUACAAAAUGACAAUGUUUCUCCAAGCAUCAGUUGAACUACAUUUGCCUGUGUUUCAAGCUGCAAUCACAACGAAUUGCUUCAUCACUGUUACAGUAUUCCACAAUAUCGGAAUUAUUGGGAAAACCAUCAACCACCACAAAAACAAAAUUAAACCUGCUUAUAAUCUCGUUUAGCAUGCAGCAGGAUUUGCACCAAAGAGUUUUUCCUACUCUGGAAAUGUGCCCGCAAGGUAUUUGUUGCAUCCACCACAGCUGGACUUAAUAUCUCACUCAAUCACUCAAAGGACCAACAGCAUUCAAUCAAUUGAUUUUUGUCCUGCAACAAGCCAUGUACACAUGCUUCCAGAGCUACGCAAUUAGCUACGGCAGCAGGUGCAUUUCCCCAGAGGUGUUCAUAACUGGAACUAGCAUUGACACUAGUUUCGAUUGAUAACUGUAACUGUCAUCAAACAGAAAACAUGCCUUCCAGAGAUCACAUUUCCACUUUAAGACUUCAAAAAUAAACUAUAUGGCAGAAUUGACUCUGCUAAGCUUAUUUUCCACCAAAAGCUAUGAUCUAACCCAUUCGAAGUUUGUCUCAAACCCAUUCGAAGUUUGUCUCUUUGGGCAAAACCAAAGCAAUCAGGCAGUUGGAUGAAUCAGGUGCAAUAGAAAGCAUUGAACACGUUUCAUGCGAGUAGGGAAGUAUGAAGAGAAGCCUUGCCCACAUGGAUUUCACAGCUGGGAUUUUAAUUACUCCAGCACAGUCCCUUUGCUUCAAGUAUGAUAUGAAGUCCUGAAACUGCAGGCUGAAAGUUUAGAACAACUGUGUAAUACAUUCAGAGUUACCCUAUUGGAUGCUCAAUAUUAAAAAGGAAGAUCACUAGAUUAAAUGUUUGAGUACCAAGAAAAAAUAGACAAUGAAUGAAUAUAAACAAAUGAAAUGACUUACGCCUUUUUGAUCACUCACAGAAGAUGGAAUCAACAGGCACACCUCCCUUUUAUGUGGUGGAGUACUUGUAAAUGUUGAUUUCACAUGCCGAAAAUCUGUGCGUUUGGUCAUAUCUAGUUUAGAGGGCCAUCUGCACCAGUAACGAGUCAGAAAAAUUGCAAGAUAAUUUUCUCAUUUUAAACAAAAUUGAAACAGAUGGCAAAGGAAAAUAAUGAGGAAUCCAGUUCUUACUCCACAGGUUCAGAAACUGGACUUGAAUAUUUGCAAAUAUCAGAAUUAACUCUAUAUGCAUAAAUUGUGCAAUAAUGAACCCCACUUUUACAUAAUGUGCCCUGCCACUGAUAUUGCUUAGACCUUCCAGAAUUUUCCACAUCAGUUGAUUCUGAAAAGGGUGGAGGUGGAGGAGGAGCAGGUGGCGGGGAUGGUGGCAAUGGAGGGGGUAUUUCAGGCUGGGGUGGUAUAGAUGCUAAAGGUGGCGGUACAACAGGUGGAGGGGGAAGUGGCGGUGGAGGGGGCAUUUCAGGCGGAGGCGGCAUAGAUGAUAAGGGUGGUGGAACAACAGGUAAGGAGAACAUUUGGUCAAAUUGUUGCAUUGGAGGUCUAUGUAUCUGUGCUAAUGGAGUGACAGAAGCAGGUAUAAAAGGGGGUGCAACAGUGCUACCCUGAAAGCUAUUGGGCACUACCACUGGUGAGAUUGGGUUCAAAGGAACAUGAUGAUUUGAACCUCGUGGAUCCCAUGCACUAUUUGGAGGAAGGUAAACAGGUCGGACAAAUUGAGAUGGCUGGAACUGCUGUGGUGGGAGAAUAGGUCGUCCCUGAGCUCCUAUGGGUACGCUUGGAAUGCUCCCAGGUGCAGGAUGCAACUCCAUUUCAUUUUUCUUGUACAUCCAAGUUUGCUCAGUAGCAGCAGAAACAGCAUGGCCACCUCCUUGCAAAGGGUCCACCCCCCCAAAUGAACGUACAGCUUGUACUGUAGACCCAUGAUUCUCUGGUUUUAUUCGGGGCGAUACAAGCUCCAUAGAGCUGCCGUCAGACUUUAUAGGGAAUGGCACAGUAUAGUUCUUUCCUGGUUGACUGAAUUCAACCUGCAAGAACAUUCCAGGACAACUUCGAAGAUUUGUCAGGACAGUGCUUGCAGCAUCAACAUUGCCACAAUCAACAAACCAACCACACCCCAUCUGUGUGUUUGCUCGCAUCAACCUGACUAUAGACCCGACAUUAGCAGUAGCAAGAUUGCAAAUUGACAUUAGGUCAUCAUCUGUGAUGAGAGGGGAGCUAACAUUUGGAAUACAAAUCCAAAGGGUGCUUGAUGGCACUUGGUCCACAUCCCUUGCCAUAGCAGUAUUGCUGGAUCCGUAUGUAUAAUUGUCAAAAUAAUUUGGGUUUUUUUUAAUGUUGUACUUUGCACAUAACGAUGCAACUAAGGAAGAUAAGUGAGACAUCCUUGUCCUACAGCUGUCAGCAGGGCUCCCGAUUGCAGUUUGAGCACAAGGAGACUCAAUCUUGCACAUGCUUCCAGAAUUAUUGGUUCUGAUUUCAGCAUGGAUUGGGGCUGGCAUUGAUCUUCCACCAUCCAGUUGAGGCAAGGGAACAUUAGAUGAUCCAGCAUUAAAAGGUGGCAGAUGAUUAUUUUUAUCCUUCCGAUGCCGCCUGAGAUGUGCCAUGACAGCAGCAGCUUCUUCAGGAGUUUCAAACUCCAUCAGUAAUGCUCCUUCAUUGCCAAGAUCAGUGACCAUGUAAGGGCCCUUGUAAAUCACUUUCCUUGAUUCAUGCAGAAUCUCAUCCCUUGCCCAUUGGCUUGAGAUAUUUCCAGCAUAAACAUGACAACUAGAACCAACUGCAACACCAUUCAUAGCUCCCCUAGUUCCCAAUCCUAUAUCCAUGAACUUUAUCUGCCAAGGAAAAUGGCAACGCAUGUAUUCCCGAGCCCUUAUGGCAUCAAUUAUGCUCCUGUACUCCACCAAGGCAAAUCCUUUGACUGGAAACAUAAAAAAUUGUUCUAUAGGGCCAAACCUCUCAAGUUGAAACUUCACAUGAGCUUCAGAUGCAUCAGGACCCAAAGAACCCAACCAAAGUUGUCUAGAAGCGGAGAAAAUAUCCAUUGCAGCAGGGUCCCCAUCGCAGAACCAAACAGUUUGAGUCAUUGAACCAUAUUGUGUCCCCAAAUGAUGUUUAGGAGAAGCAAAAGCAUUAUUUGUGGUUCCACUAGCAGAUCUCAUGACUGGUGAACUGAAGUCAAUAUUUGAAGCUGAAUUCUUGUCAAUAUGAACAGUGUGGUUUCUACCUUCAAAUGAAUUGUUCCUAGAGUCUAAUGUUUUUCUUGUGGCAGGUGAAAGCAUCUGUUGGUUCAAUAAGUCUCUAGGUAGGGAAGACUUGCCAUGUGAAGAAUUGGCAUGAUCACUUAUCUCAAAAUCCGUGGACCUUGACCCACCAUUAUCAAGACUAGUACCAUCUUUACUGGAGAGAUCAUUAGAGAUUUCAUGUUGAUUGGAGA